GGCUCAGGAUGAACGCUGGCGGUAUGCUUAACACAUGCAAGUCGAACGGAAUGCUUAGGCAUUUAGUGGCGGACGGGUGAGUAACGCGUGAGAAUUUGGCUUCAGGUCGGGGACAACAGUUGGAAACGACUGCUAAUACCGGAUAUGCCGGAAGGUGAAAGGCUUGCUGCCUGAAGAUAAGCUCGCGUCUGAUUAGCUAGUUGGUAGUGUAAGGGACUACCAAGGCGACGAUCAGUAGCUGGUCUGAGAGGAUGAUCAGCCACACUGGGACUGAGACACGGCCCAGACUCCUACGGGAGGCAGCAGUGGGGAAUUUUCCGCAAUGGGCGAAAGCCUGACGGAGCAAUACCGCGUGAGGGAGGAAGGCUCUUGGGUCGUAAACCUCUUUUCUCAAGGAAGAAAAAAAUGACGGUACUUGAGGAAUAAGCAUCGGCUAACUCCGUGCCAGCAGCCGCGGUAAUACGGAGGAUGCAAGCGUUAUCCGGAAUGAUUGGGCGUAAAGGGUCCGCAGGUGGUACUGUAAGUCUGCUGUUAAAGAGUCUGGCUCAACCAGAUAAAAGCAGUGGAAACUACAGAACUAGAGUGCGUUCGGGGCAGAAGGAAUUCCUGGUGUAGCGGUGAAAUGCGUAGAUAUCAGGAAGAACACCGGUGGCGAAAGCGUUCUGCUAGGCCGCAACUGACACUGAGGGACGAAAGCUAGGGGAGCGAAUGGGAUUAGAUACCCCAGUAGUCCUAGCCGUAAACGAUGGAUACUAGGCGUGGCUUGUAUCGACCCGAGCCGUGCCGGAGCUAACGCGUUAAGUAUCCCGCCUGGGGAGUACGCACGCAGUGUGAAACU
RNAcentral lists this ribosomal RNA (838 nucleotides) under uncultured bacterium. RNAcentral describes it as "bacterial SSU rRNA". It matches the Rfam family "Bacterial small subunit ribosomal RNA", at positions 21 to 901 of the family's 1533-position model. The record is from RNAcentral.